Molecule: ribosomal RNA, 914 nt
Filed under: uncultured Nitrososphaerota archaeon
Lineage: Archaea; Thermoproteati; Nitrososphaerota
Description: bacterial SSU rRNA
Rfam family: Archaeal small subunit ribosomal RNA
Source: RNAcentral
UUCCGGUUGAUCCUGCCGGACCUGACUGCUAUCGGAUUGAUACUAAGCCAUGCGAGUCAUUGUAGCAAUACAAGGCAGACGGCUCAGUAACGCGUAGUCAACCUAACCUAUGGACGGGAAUAACCUCGGGAAACUGAGAAUAAUGCCCGAUAGAACACUAUAUCUGGAAUGGUUUGUGUUCCAAAUGAUUUAUCGCCGUAGGAUGGGACUGCGGCCUAUCAGUUUGUUGGUGAGGUAAUGGCCCACCAAGACUAUUACAGGUACGGGCUCUGAGAGGAGUAGCCCGGAGAUGGGUACUGAGACACGGACCCAGGCCCUAUGGGGCGCAGCAGGCGAGAAAACUUUGCAAUGUGCGAAAGCACGACAAGGUUAAUCCGAGUGGUUUGUGCUAAACGAACCUUUUGUCGGUCCUAGAAACACCGAUGAAUAAGGGGUGGGCAAGUUCUGGUGUCAGCCGCCGCGGUAAAACCAGCACCUCAAGUGGUCAGGAUGAUUAUUGGGCCUAAAGCAUCCGUAGCCGGCGCUAUAAGUUUUCGGUUAAAUCUGUACGCUCAACGUACAGGCUGCCGGGAAUACUGCAGCGCUAGGGAGUGGGAGAGGUAGACGGUACUCGGUAGGAAGGGGUAAAAUCCUUUGAUCUAUUGAUGACCACCUGUGGCGAAGGCGGUCUACCAGAACACGUCCGACGGUGAGGGAUGAAAGCUGGGGGAGCAAACCGGAUUAGAUACCCGGGUAGUCCCAGCUGUAAACUAUGCAAACUCAGUGAUGCAUUGGCUUGUGGCCAAUGCAGUGCUGCAGGGAAGCCGUUAAGUUUGCCGCCUGGGAAGUACGUACGCAAGUAUGAAACUUAAAGGAAUUGGCGGGGGAGCACCACAAGGGGUGAAGCCUGCGGUUCAAUUGGAUUCAACGCCGGG